This 399-nucleotide ribosomal RNA is filed under the name Nematoda environmental sample. RNAcentral's name for it is "SSU rRNA". It matches the Rfam family "Eukaryotic small subunit ribosomal RNA", at positions 29 to 436 of the family's 1831-position model. The record is from RNAcentral. Lineage: Eukaryota; Metazoa; Nematoda.
UGCUUGUCUCAAAGAUUAAGCCAUGCAUGUCUAAGCAUAAGCUGGUAACAGUGAAGCCGCGAAUAGCUCAUUACAACAGCCGUUGUUUCUUGGAUCUACUCUCUACUUGGAUAACUGUGGUAAUUCUAGAGCUAAUACAUGCAUCAAGACCGAACGUAAGAACGGUCGCAUUUAUUAGAACAAAACCAUCCGGUCUCUGGCCGUUCUUUGGUGACUCUGAAUAACUGAGCAAAUCACAUGGUCUCGCACCGGUGAUGUAUCUUUCAAGUGUCUGCCUUAUCAACUUUCGAUGGUAGUUUAUGCGCCUACCAUGGUUGUAACGGGUAACGGAGAAUCAGGGUUUGACUCCGGAGAGGGAGCCUGAGAAACGGCUACCACUUCCRAGGAAGGCAGCAGGCA